Molecule: ribosomal RNA, 497 nt
Filed under: uncultured bacterium
Lineage: Bacteria
Description: partial 16S ribosomal RNA
Rfam family: Bacterial small subunit ribosomal RNA
Source: RNAcentral
GACGAACGCUGGCGGCGUGCCUAAUACAUGCAAGUCGAGCGAUGAAGAUUGGUGCUUGCACCACUUUGGAGAGCAGCGGACGGGUGAGUAACGCGUGGGGAAUCUGCCUUUGAGCGGGGGAUAACAUUGGGAAACGAAUGCUAAUACCGCAUAACAACUUUAAACAUAAGUUUUAAGAUUGAAAGAUGCAAUUGCAUCACUCAAAGAUGAUCUCGCGUUGUCUUAGCUAGUUGGUGAGGUAAAGGCUCAACAAGGCGAUGAUACAUAGCCGACCUGGGAGGGGGAUCGGCCACAUUGGGACUGGAACACGGCCCAAACUCCUACGGGAAGCAGCAGUAGGGAAUCUUCGGCAAUUGACGAAAGUCUGACCGGACAACGCCGCGGUAGUGAAGAAAGUUUUCGGAUCGUAAAACUCUGUUUGUAGGGGAGAACGUUAUUUGUAGUUGAAUACGCAUCUAGUGACGGUAACUACUCAGAAAGGGACGGCUAACUACGUG